This is a long non-coding RNA of Spodoptera frugiperda (fall armyworm), 5061 nucleotides long. RefSeq lists it as uncharacterized. The record is from RefSeq and is a predicted model, not a curated record. The transcript is spliced from 2 exons. Lineage: Eukaryota; Metazoa; Arthropoda; Insecta; Lepidoptera; Noctuidae.
AAACGAAAGAAGACUGUUAAGUUCCACUACCAGCUGAUUAUUACAGAGUACAUCAAGUACAUCAUGUAAAUAAUAAUAAGGUCAAUUCGGUACGCACGAACUGAUUGACGUGUCGUAUAUGCAAUAGCUAUGUUUAGUGAAAAACAAUUUAGGUACCUACACCGAUAAAUCUAGCGAUAAAUAUUAAUCUAUUUGAUUUAUUAGGGAAUUUGUGAACGAUAAAUAAAUAACGAAAUGAUUUAGCAAAUUCUGAUCUUUGAGAACUAUACGAAGUAACGAAAGUAAAAGCUAAUGAUUUUUUACUCAAAGUAAAAUAUUGGCAUUUACAUUAAAAUUCUUUACCAAUAAAUAGAAUGAAGCUAGUCAGUAAGGUAUAAACAGUUUCAUUGUAGCUUUAAUCACACGCAAUAUAAACUUGUUCCAAUAUAUUACGCAUACUUAUAAUAAGAUAGUAUGACGUAAGCAACUGGUAGUUUAAAAUUCAAUAUUUUGAAAAUUAACAUGUUUUAUAACAUAAGAAUUAUAUUCAGGCGGGUACCUGUCAUAAAGUCAAAUUACCUAGAUUUGUAUGACAUGACUACCCACAUAGUUUAGUGAAACACUAAGUUUUUAUUCACAUACCGUCAUAAUUUUGUGAGCACAAGCUCGCAGCGAGUACAAUGUGCGAAAACGGAGAACAUUGUUUAUAGGAAUGGUCCAUAAUGAUCGUACUGCGUACAGCUGGAACCGAUCCAAAUGUAUCUAAAAUAGAUCGCUCGCUAAAACGGCCGAGCGCUUUUUAAAGCUCAGGAAUUUAGGUAGGCUUCAUAUACAUAUAAACAUAUCUAUCUCGCAGACAUUGCGGACGUAGUUAAAGACUGCUUUUGUCUGGUAUUUCGGGUUCGGCCUGCAGAAACUAACAACUCGGGUAACUUUUAACAUCCACGCUUUAAGAAUAUAAUGUGAGGUACCUAUAGUAUGCUAACCUAAAUCUUCAUGUCAGUGUGUCAAUGUUUGCUUAACGAGAUUACAUUGGAAGUAUUUCAACGUAAGGUGUUUCUACGUUACCCAGCACGCGCGUAAAUUACAAUGUUUUGAUAUACUUCUAAAAAACACCCAACGAGUCAUGUACCAACAGUUUACAUUAAUAAAAUAAGAUCUAACCACCCAAGAUCAAAGUGCAAUAAGUACGCGAGAUUAGAUUACAGAUUAGUUGGUAAUGAGGACAGUAGUGUUGGCCACGAUGUACAGUUCACAUAGAUUUAGAAGGAAGCUGACCGAUACUAACUUAGAAGGACAAACAACAACUUCAUAUUUGUUAUAGAAACAUGUUUCGUUGUUUACUGAGGAAAUGACGAUCGGAAAAUUUUGCAUUAGGAAAGUUUGUGAGCCAUGCUGGAUAUUUUUAGGUCAUAUAUUGACACAGCGGGGAUCCCAGAAACCUUGACAUGCAUGUUAUUUCCUACAUAGCCGGCGUACAUAACAAUUUUGAAAUUCUUAUACAUAACUACUGUUUGAACCGAUGGGGACAUCCAAAAAUACAAAUGAUGUAAUGUUAGAGAUGUCGUAAAUACGAACAGCGCCCCCGAUUGUUCAUAUAAUUUGUUUUCAUAUGUUGAUCAAAUGUAUGCGUAAGAGAGGGGAGAGUUUUCAGUCUCACAUUUUUAAGUAAAAAUAACUGGUCGCGGAAAUAGCUGAUACAUUAAGACUAAUUCAGUUGUUGACAAGUCAUACUCCUCCAAGUACCUACAACCUAUUCGUGGGAACUGAAAAAAAAAGUACGUAAUCAAAACAUUGCCGUUGCGCUACGCAGCGUUCACGCCAGCUGACGUGACUGUGAGACGGAUCAACUGGGUACAAGUACUUCGGUAGUGGCAUGUGUACGAUGUCGUCACGCGGGCCGCGGGUGGCGGGCGGCGGGGCGGGCGCGGCGGCCUGAUGGGGUUUUCCCAACAAUGUGGCGGCCGCGGCUCAGCGACUGGCGACGCACGCGCCUCAACUGUCCUCGCCAAAUAUGGCGCGCUACCACUCGAUUUUCACUAUUUCCGUAUAUCAUUCAGACACUAACCUCCCUAAUUUCUAUGACCAUUAACUAGCAAUGGCCGUUGAACUCGCGGUGGAAUUUUUACAUUUAUUAGUUUAAUGUCGGUUCUUGGUAUUUCCCAUAGUUUACUUAUUAAUUAAGUAUUUUCAAAAUAAAAGAGUCGUAAUAAAAUUGCUUGUUAUGUAAUAUACUGUAAGCUUUUGUGGAAGAACAUUUUUUCCUUAUUUACGAAACGAAUCAUAAACGUAGCUAACGAACGGUAGGCAGUCGGUGCUAACCGCAGCUAUACCCAGGGUAAUGCCCAUGCGUUGGCACAUGAAUUGUGCCAUCUAUUAAAAGUAAAAUUCCUUUAAUGACUAGGUAACAGAAAGGUUUUACUAAUCAAGAUUCUACAAAUAUACAUCAGAUAUUUGAAUAUGCUCCCGCUUGAAUCGGCCCCGACGCCACAUUGAUGUGCCCCAAACUAUAUUUAGCGGCUGCAUCAUCCGCAACGUUCGGUUGUCGCGAGCGGACAUUUUCAAAAUAUCCAUGCGGAACCCUGGCGACGGCGGCGACGUUUCAACAGGUUUUCUUGUAAAAACCCAGGUUGCCUUGCAAACAGAGCUCACGACUAAACUCUCAACAAAAUUUUCUACAUAAAUAUAAAUUAAUUGACGUGUCGCAGCUGUCGUUUGCCGGUUUGGGUAAUUUUGUACAAACAUGGGGAAUAACGUCGCAUAUUAACUGUCCUACACGCUACCAUUCUGUUUCUGUUCAAUGAGCUGAGCGGCUGAGGGCACGAGGUUACAGACAAUGUAUGCACGCGCAGGCAGGAGACGUCACUUCGACUUUUUAGAAGUCUACGCGUUUGAUUGUGGUAUAAUGCCGUCGGAUUCGUUAAGUUCUUGACUACCUAGGCGACGCAAGUAUGAUUCGGUUUAUUUUCCUCAUAGGAACUUCCAAUUAUUAAAAUUACGCCAUUCGAGUGUCACAGGAUAGUGUAGAAUAUUUAAAUAUUUUACUUUAUACAGGUAUACUAUAAAUGGCUGAACCUAUGUUUACAAGAUCAGUUCUCAACAAGUGUGACGUAAACUUGCAAAGAGGUGUUGAAAUUUUCAUGAUAAUAAAUUGCGUCGCAGGACAUUGAAAAACCAGGUUGAGUGUCGGAAAACCCCAAGUUUUAUAUAAACGGUACCAGGGUUUAAUACAGGUAGAUAGCAACGGUUUACAAGCGCUCACCUAUGUAGAUAACGAUUCUUCAAACAUGAUCGUAAAACAUGCAGAUAAGUGAUUAUUUCGGAAUGUGAAUGAAUUAUUCCAGGUUGAAUGUCACCAAUCGACCUUUGUGUUGUUUGUUUGAUUGUCCAAUAUCUACGUAUCUACUUAUCAAGAAGAUUCUAAAGAAAUAAAACAUGUGAUAACUUGGUACUUGUCAUGUACUUAUGCAUAUGCAUAUUAUGUUACUUAUGCAUAUAUUUUUAAUGCUUGCCCUUACACUAACGAAUGAGUCUCUAGAGCAAUAGCUUAGAAAAUUACUUUGACGCAUAUAAUUAAUGCCACAGUACUACGAUUACGAUUAUUAAUACCAAUUAUUUAAAUCUGCUAUUUACGUCUGUGGGAAAUCCAAAUAAAAUAACAAUUAGAGUUGUUGUCCUUGGAUAGCAAAAACGCACCUUGGCCAGAACAAACUAAGAACAGAUACAGCACUCUGAAUUAGUUCCAAGUUAGGUAUGUUACAUGCUUAGCAGAACAUUUAAGAAACCGGAAUCUCCGAAAUUCCCGAAUUUUUAAGCGGUCACUGCACGCACUGGGUGCUGUUAGCCUUGCCUUUAGUGUAAUGUACAGUCAAGAAAAUAGUUGUACAUCCGCAGGUAAAUGACAAGCAGAUACAUUUUAAAAUUGACAGAGUUAUUUGAGAUGGCGAUAUAAUUAGAAAGUGCGCCACAGUCCCACGUAACAUGUUCAUAAUACAUGCCGCGCUUGGGAUUUCCGUCCGUAUGUAACCGUGGCGAGGCACACUUUCACGUGGGUAUUGCCCGGGCCAUCAGCAUCAUGCAGCUACCAUUGUUCAGAGCACUGACAUCAAUGUGAACGACGCAAUGCCAAACGAUUGCGGUUUUCCUGGGUUAUGCUUACCUUCGACUAUUGGCGCAUUAAGAAGAAGAACUUGUAUACCUAUGCAAAUAUCGCUUCGUACUGGUGUUUUGAAAAAUAUAUUGACAAAGAAUAUUAUUACUUUUCGAGAUUAAAAGAAGUUGUUUGUCGUUUAAAAAUAAAUCGGCAAUAAAUAUACAGAUAGCGUACGCGUUGGCGCUACAACAUUCAUAAGUUAUUGAAAUUGUCCCAUCAGGAAAAACCAUCUCGCCGUGUCGCCUACUUAGCAUACUCGUAAUAGCUUUUCAAUUAACACUCGAACAAUGGUCGGGGUAACCCAAGUCAUGUGUACGGGCCGCUCGGCGCUGGUCUAGGGGCGUUACACGGUACCAAAAAGUUUGCUUUCACUCGGUGAGCGGCCGUCCGUGUUCGUUCGUUACGCGACCGGCUCGUCGUAACGCUGGGAAUACCCAACAGCCAACUGCCGACAGCCUCUGAACUCGAUAAUCUCACAAUCCACUUCGGCGGCCAAUCUGAUCAAUAGGCCAGCAAGAAAUUUUGACCCCACGCGCUCGCACAAACUAUUUAUGAAUUAAGCUUUCGAACAUAACAUGAAGUUUACCAAAAUGUUUUCGCAAGGUCGACAAUCGUGUCAAAUAAAUACAUAUGCAAAUACGUACAGAGGUAGAGCCAAAAUUCUUUUAUAUCAGGUUGGUGUGUUGUUUGUUAGCUUGGGAAAACCAGCCAUUAAAGAGCGUAAAGUAUUAUCUUUUUAAUGCAGUUUACAGAGGCAGGGAAUUCCUAAUUUGAUUUACUGUGAAUUAGAGUUAUUAGAAAAUGAUUUCUGCAACUGGGGCACUUUCCAGCAUGGCCAGGGGCUUCGCACAUACAGUUGUAAUGGCAUUGAGCGUAAUCAAGACCUUGACGGACGUCACAAGUAGCCUCAUGGGCACGGUGCGUUCACA